This 99-nucleotide transfer RNA is filed under the name Kocuria turfanensis. RNAcentral describes it as "tRNA-Thr". The record is from RNAcentral. Lineage: Bacteria; Bacillati; Actinomycetota; Actinomycetes; Micrococcales; Micrococcaceae.
GCGAUGGCCUGGUCGAUGGCGUCGGGCAGCCGGGCCUCGUGGGUGCGGGCGGCCUGGCGCACCGACCGGGUCCACGGCUCGGCGGCCCCGGCCGCGGCG